GGGCCCAUAGCUCAGCCCGGUUAGAGCGACUGACUCAUAAUCAGUUGGUCCCAGGUUCGAAUCCUGGUGGGCCCA
This 75-nucleotide transfer RNA is filed under the name Nitrospirota bacterium. RNAcentral's name for it is "Nitrospirae bacterium (sediment metagenome) tRNA-Met". It matches the Rfam family "tRNA". From Rfam's summary of the family: Transfer RNA (tRNA) molecules are approximately 80 nucleotides in length. Lineage: Bacteria; Pseudomonadati; Nitrospirota. The record is from RNAcentral.